RNAcentral lists this ribosomal RNA (301 nucleotides) under uncultured bacterium. RNAcentral describes it as "partial 16S ribosomal RNA". It matches the Rfam family "Bacterial small subunit ribosomal RNA", at positions 509 to 809 of the family's 1533-position model. The record is from RNAcentral.
CAGCAGCCGCGGUAAUACGUAGGGUGCAAGCGUUAAUCGGAAUUACUGGGCGUAAAGCGUGCGCAGGCGGUUAUAUAAGACAGAUGUGAAAUCCCCGGGCUCAACCUGGGAACUGCAUUUGUGACUGUAUAGCUAGAGUACGGCAGAGGGGGAUGGAAUUCCGCGUGUAGCAGUGAAAUGCGUAGAUAUGCGGAGGAACACCGAUGGCGAAGGCAAUCCCCUGGGCCUGCACUGACGCUCAUGCACGAAAGCGUGGGGAGCAAACAGGAUUAGAUACCCCCGUAGUCCCUGUCUCUUAUAA